GAUGAACGCUGGCGGCGUGCCUAAUACAUGCAAGUCGAGCGAACAGACGAGGAGCUUGCUCCUCUGACGUUAGCGGCGGACGGGUGAGUAACACGUGGAUAACCUACCUAUAAGACUGGGAUAACUUCGGGAAACCGGAGCUAAUACCGGAUAAUAUAUUGAACCGCAUGGUUCAAUAGUGUAAGACGGCUUUGCUGUCACUUAUAGAUGGAUCCGCGCCGCAUUAGCUAGUUGGUAAGGUAACGGCUUACCAAGGCGACGAUGCGUAGCCGACCUGAGAGGGUGAUCGGCCACACUGGAACUGAGACACGGUCCAGACUCCUACGGGAGGCAGCAGUAGGGAAUCUUCCGCAAUGGGCGAAAGCCUGACGGAGCAACGCCGCGUGAGUGAUGAAGGUCUUCGGAUCGUAAAACUCUGUUAUUAGGGAAGAACAAAUGUGUAAGUAACUAUGCACGUCUUGACGGUACCUAAUCAGAAAGCCACGGCUAACUACGUG
RNAcentral lists this ribosomal RNA (497 nucleotides) under uncultured bacterium. Its description in RNAcentral is "partial 16S ribosomal RNA". It matches the Rfam family "Bacterial small subunit ribosomal RNA", at positions 28 to 507 of the family's 1533-position model. The record is from RNAcentral.